Non-coding RNA from Albula glossodonta (roundjaw bonefish), 73 nucleotides. Lineage: Eukaryota; Metazoa; Chordata; Actinopteri; Albuliformes; Albulidae. The record is from the annotation of a GenBank genome assembly.
UCAAUCAAAGUAUAAUGGUCAGUAUGCUGGGCUUUUAACUCAAAGGUCACAGGUUCGAUUCCCAGGUAGGGAA